This 537-nucleotide long non-coding RNA is filed under the name Homo sapiens (human). RNAcentral's name for it is "HSALNT0342635". The record is from RNAcentral. Lineage: Eukaryota; Metazoa; Chordata; Mammalia; Primates; Hominidae.
GUUUUGUUUUAUGGUUUCUCCAGCAGUGUAUGAGACUUCAAGCUGCUCCACAAUCCCCCACAACACUUGGUCUGCUGGAAUUUGCUGGAGGUCCAUUCCAGGUGCUGUUUGCCUGGGUAUCACCAGUGGAGGCUGCAGAACAGCGAAGAUGGCUGCCUGCUCCUUCCUCUGGAAGCUUCAUCACAGAGGCACACCUGCCUGAUUCCAACUGGAGCUCUCCUGUAUGAGGUGUCAGAUGACGCCUGUUGGGAGAGAUGCCCUGCCCAAUCAGGAGGAAUCUAGAGAGGCAGUCUGGCCACAGACUCUUUGCUGCAGUGUGGUGAGUCACCCGGUUGAAACUUCCCAGCUUCCUCAAUACUGGGAGGGGCAAAGAGCCUACUCAAGCCUCAGUGAUGGUGGACGCCCCUCCCCAAGCUUGAGUGUCCCAGGUCAACUUCAGACUGCUGUGCUGGCCACGAGAAUUUCAAGCCAGUGGUUCUCAGCUUGCUGGGCUCUGUGGGAGUGGGACUCACUGAGCGAGACCUCUUGUGUUCCUGG